CGCUGGCGGCGUGCCUAAUACAUGCAAGUCGAACGCGCAGCGAAAGGUGCUUGCACCUUUCAAGCGAGUGGCGAACGGGUGAGUAACACGUGGAUAACCUGCCUCAAGGCUGGGGAUAACAUUUGGAAACAGAUGCUAAUACCGAAUAAAACUUAGUAUCGCAUGAUACAAAGUUGAAAGGCGCUACGGCGUCACCUAGAGAUGGGUCCGCGGUGCAUUAGUUAGUUGGUGGGGUAAAGGCCUACCAAGACAAUGAUGCAUAGCCGAGUUGAGAGACUGAUCGGCCACAUUGGGACUGAGACACGGCCCAAACUCCUACGGGAGGCUGCAGUAGGGAAUCUUCCACAAUGGGCGAAAGCCUGAUGGAGCAACGCCGCGUGUGUGAUGAAGGCUUUAGGGUCGUAAAGCACUGUUGUAUGGGAAGAAAUGCUAGAAUAGGGAAUGAUUCUAGUUCGACGGUACCAUACCAGAAAGGGACGGCUAAAUACGUGCCAGCAGCCGCGGUAAUACGUAUGUCCCGAGCGUUAUCCGGAUUUAUUGGGCGUAAAGCGAGCGCAGACGGUUGAUUAAGUCUGAUGUGAAAGCCCGGAGCUCAACUCCGGAAUGGCAUUGGAAACUGGUUAACUUGAGUGUUGUAGAGGUAAGUGGAACUCCAUGUGUAGCGGUGGAAUGCGUAGAUAUAUGGAAGAACACCAGUGGCGAAGGCGGCUUACUGGACAACAACUGACGUUGAGGCUCGAAAGUGUGGGUAGCAAACAGGAUUAGAUACCCUGGUAGUCCACACCGUAAACGAUGAAUACUAGGUGUUAGGAGGUUUCCGCCUCUUAGUGCCGAAGCUAACGCAUUAAGUAUUCCGC
RNAcentral lists this ribosomal RNA (857 nucleotides) under Leuconostoc lactis. Its description in RNAcentral is "bacterial SSU rRNA". It matches the Rfam family "Bacterial small subunit ribosomal RNA", at positions 34 to 872 of the family's 1533-position model. The record is from RNAcentral. Lineage: Bacteria; Bacillati; Bacillota; Bacilli; Lactobacillales; Lactobacillaceae.